This 457-nucleotide ribosomal RNA is filed under the name uncultured bacterium. Its description in RNAcentral is "partial 16S ribosomal RNA". It matches the Rfam family "Bacterial small subunit ribosomal RNA", at positions 28 to 523 of the family's 1533-position model. The record is from RNAcentral.
GAUGAACGCUGGCGGCGUGCCUAAUACAUGCAAGUCGAGCGGAAAGGCCCUUCGGGGUACUCGAGCGGCGGACGGCUGAGUAACGCGUAGGAACGAACCCCAAAGUGAGGGAUAACUGCUCGAAAGAGUAGCUAAUACCGCAUGUGCUCUUCGGAGUAAAGCUUCGGCGCUUUGGGAACGGCCUGCGUCCUAUUAGCUAGUUGGUGAGGUAAUUGCUCACCAAGGCGACGAUAGGUAGCUGGUCUGAGAGGAUGAUCAGCCAGACUGGGACUGAUACACGGCCCAGACUCCUACGGGAGGCAGCAGUAGGGAAUUUUCCACAAUGGGCGAAAGCCUGAUGGAGCAACGCCGCGUGCAGGAUGAAUGCCUUCGGGUUGUAAACUGCUUUUAUAGGUGAAGAAUAUGACGGUAACCUAUGAAUAAGGAUCGGCUAACUCCGUGCCAGCCGCCGCGGUAA